Molecule: non-coding RNA, 486 nt
Organism: Amphiprion ocellaris (clown anemonefish)
Lineage: Eukaryota; Metazoa; Chordata; Actinopteri; Pomacentridae
Source: the annotation of a RefSeq genome assembly
CAGCUGCAGCUGACUGACUCUGAGUGUUUGCAUAUGUGUCCUGCCUCUGAGCUCCACACGUUAAGAGGCCAGUGUUGAUCAGAGUCUGUCCAGACCUUUCACACACUCUGACACGCCGGCAGCACAAUCAUCAUGUCCCUGACUCUACUGCUGGCCACCCUGGGGCUCCUUGUUCAGGGUUCAUCAUCAGAAAUCAUCCUGACUCAGUCUCCUGGAUCUCAGUCUGUUGUUCCAGGACAAACUGUCUCCAUCAGGUGUAAAACCAGUGAGAGUGUUUAUAGCGACCUGCAGUGGUACCUUCAGAAACCUGGAAAAUCUCCACAACUCCUGAUCUAUAAUGAUGCAACUCGUUACUCUGGAGUUCCUGACCGUUUUAGUGGAAGUGGAGGUGGAUAUGACUUUACUCUGACCAUCAGUGGAGUUCAGGCUGAAGAUUCAGGAGUUUAUUACUGUCAGCAGGAUGAAAGCUUACCGUUCACACAGUGA